Acanthosepion pharaonis is the source of this 111-nucleotide non-coding RNA. The record is from the annotation of a GenBank genome assembly. NCBI's taxonomy places the organism in Eukaryota, Metazoa, Mollusca, Cephalopoda, Sepiida, Sepiidae.
AUGGUCACAUCACAUUGAAAUACUGGUUCUCAUUUCAUCACUAAAGUUCAGCAAUGUUGAGCCUGGUCAGUACCUAGAUGGGUGACCACUUGGGAAUACCAGGUGCUGUUA